Molecule: ribosomal RNA, 515 nt
Filed under: uncultured bacterium
Lineage: Bacteria
Description: partial 16S ribosomal RNA
Rfam family: Bacterial small subunit ribosomal RNA
Source: RNAcentral
GAUGAACGCUGGCGGCGUGCCUAAUACAUGCAAGUCGAGCGAAUGGAUUAAGAGCUUGCUCUUAUGAAGUUAGCGGCGGACGGGUGAGUAACACGUGAGUAACCUGCCCAUAAGACUGGGAUAACUCCGGGAAACCUGGGCUAAUACCGGAUAACAUUUUGAACCGCAUGGUUCGAAAUUGAAAGGCGGCUUUGGCUGUCACUUAUGGAUGGACCCGCGUCGCAUUAGCUAGUUGGUGAGGUAACGGCUAACCAAGGCAACGACGCGUAGCCGACCUGAGAGGGUGAUCGGCCACACUGGGACUGAGACACGGCCCAGACUCCUACGGGAGGCAGCAGUAGGGAAUCUUCCGCAAUGGACGAAAGUCUGACGGGGCAGCGCCGCGUGAGUGAUGAAGGCUUUCGGGUCGUAAAACUCUGUUGUUAGGGAAGAACAAGUGCUAGUUGAAUAAGCUGGCACCUUGACGGUACCUAACCAGAAAGCCACGGCUAACUACGUGCCAGCCGCCGCCGUAA